This 371-nucleotide ribosomal RNA is filed under the name uncultured bacterium. RNAcentral describes it as "bacterial SSU rRNA". It matches the Rfam family "Bacterial small subunit ribosomal RNA", at positions 28 to 399 of the family's 1533-position model. The record is from RNAcentral.
GACGAACGCUGGCGGCGUGCUUAACACAUGCAAGUCGAGCGGUAAGGCCCUUUCGGGGUACGACGAGCGGCGAACGGGUGAGUAACACGUGGGUGACCUGCCCUCAGCUCUGGGAUAAGCCUGGGAAACUGGGUCUAAUACUGGAUAUGACUCCACGGUGCAUGUCGUGGGGUGGAAAGCCUUGUGCGGCUGAGGAUGGGCCCGCGGCCUAUCAGCUUGUUGGUGGGGUGAUGGCCUACCAAGGCGACGACGGGUAGCCGGCCUGAGAGGGCGACCGGCCACACUGGGACUGAGACACGGCCCAGACUCCUACGGGAGGCAGCAGUGGGGAAUCUUGCGCAAGUGGGCGAAAGCCUGACGCAGCGACGCCG